UCCAUGAAUAAACUUAUCGUCUUUUAUGUACUGAUGAACAUAGAGAUGGAGCGAUCAGAGUUUGUUUAUGUACCAAAUUAGAGUGAGUUGAGAAAAGAGUGGAUUUACACAAGGACGAAAUGGCUGGCUGCUGCUUGUUCAAAACUGAAAGUUAGGGUGACCUUGUUUCUCAUAGGGACUCAGCAAAUUAAGGGGCCUCUAGGUCUACUUCUUGUCUCAUUAUAUAUGCUAUUAGCCAUUCAACGUUGAAAGUCCAUAUCCCUUUUUCUACGGCCACCAAGGCUUCCUCCACGUCUUCCUCACAAGCCACAAAGAUCGUCUUCCAUACGUUGUUUACUUUAUCUAGCUCAUGAAUCACCUAAAUUUUCAAGCAUAAUGAAUUUGCCAAGUGAGAGAAAAAAAUUAUGUAUAUACUACAAGGAAAUUGCAAGAAUUCACCCUAUCAAAAAUAUUAAACAAAUUCUUGUUCUAGUCCCUAAAAUUUUCCAUCUUUUCCCAACUUUCAAAAUGCUUCCUAUGAGAUAUAUUCCAAUCACAUAUAGCAGAAAUGACCAAUGAGUAUUGGAUAAAUGAAUAUUAAUUGAUAAAAUAAUUUACAAAAUACUAAAACCGUUAGUUGGCUACGUUUUGGAAGCUCGAUGACUAAAAUGGAUGUUUUGAAAGUUCUAAGGCUAAAAUGGAAUUUAAAUCAACAUAAUAGUAAGUUCAAGAUCAAAGACAAGCUAAACAAUAAAAUGUUGCGACCAGAAAACAAUCUAAUCAUAAUUAGAAACAUGGAUUUGAUAAUUAAAAACUUGAACAAAUUUGAUAAUUAAAGAAACACGGAGAUGGCCAUAUGACCCCUUGUGCAUAGACUUUUUACAUUACAUGCUCAAUUCCUAGGAUCAAAACAAACAUAAAUAUUAAAGACUUAAGAAGCACAUACACUCAAGUUUGGCUAGUGUAUCAAUAAACAAUAUGUAUGGAACACUCGGAGAACACGUGUUGAACACUAGUUAGUACAGUAGAUGUGUUAGACAACAAGUAUUCCAAUGCAAUAAAGGUCAAGAUUGGUCACACACACAUAUUAAACUCUUGGCUUUGAAUAAGUUUUGAGUGAAGGACAAGCUUAUUUUUAAGCAUAUAAAUACAUAAACUUAUUGACUUUGAAUUUCUAUAUAAAUAUGAGACAUACUUUUUAAAUUAUAUAUAUUAAAACUGUGUUCUAGCACUAUCCUAUAUUUUUUAGAAAAAAAUGACACGUCACCAUGUCUAUGAUUUAUUGACCCAUGUCUAAAAUUCGUAUACGUGCUUGUUGUUGAAAUUUUUUGUCCUAAAACUCAUAGUUUGUAAUCAUAUUCUGCUCAAUAAAGUUGUUAUUGAGAAAUUAAAUAUUAUAAUCUUAAAUCCAAUAAAUCAAGUUCCAAGGCUAUUUUUGAAUAAACUUGAACUUUAUGUGUAAACAUAAACGUGGAUCAAGUUCGAGUAUAUAGCCUAAAUAGUGUAUAGUAUAUGAAAUAAAGGUUGGGCACCUUAUUUAGAGAAACUAUGGAUGCGGCCCACUUUGUAGUACAAACGAGGUGAUCCUAAUCGUUCAUGUAGAGACAUGAAAGUGGGGGCAUCCUAUGUAAAGUGUUUACAUAAGACUGAACCAUGAAUUUGUCUUUUUUACGUUAUAACACCGUUUACUGUUUAAAACUGACUAUCUCAAUUAUUGAUGACCUCGGUAACUUAGUCUUAAUCCUGAGUUAACUAUGAACUCUUGUUCACACGAGAUUAUCCUUAGAUCUGCAUAGGUGAGGGCAGCUCAUCAGCGUUGGCCCAAUAAGCCUCCAAUUUCAAGGGUAUGAUCGGGUGGAUAGCUGGGAACAUAGGGUACAAGAUGGAAUUCACUCCUACCCGCUUUAGGGUUAGUAGAUAGGUUGUUCUCUUAAGCACUGAAUCCAAGUCUUGAACAAGGGGCCCCACCCUCUCAUUGGCCGAGAGGGAUUAAGUUUAUAGGUUGAACCUUAAACCAAUUGUUCAAUAGUCGAUUAGUGGGACUUAAGGAGCAAGAUGUAAUUUUUGGGGGUAAAACGGUAUUUUAACCCAGCCAAGGUUACGAGCAACCUGUGAAGGAUUAACUUACCAAUUAUGGUUUUAUCAAAUGGACACAAAUAUAUCUAUAGUGAGGGGAGUGCAACUACGGGACUUUAGUGGAAUGACCCGUUAGUUAACGAAUGUUGAUUAACUCUGUCUAAAAGAGUUUAGCUAGUUAAUCUUGAAUCGUUGGAGCCCAUGAUCUAUAGGUCCAUUAGGUUCCUCUGCUAGCUCAUAUGGAUUAAACUUAGAACAGUGUGAUGAAAUAAGUCGAAUUGUUCGAAUUGGGAGAAGAAAGAGAAACCGACAGGUAUAGUGAUAUAGUCGUCGGUCUUCUAAAUAGAAAAAGAGCUUCAUGUUUUUCAUACUAUAAGUAUGAAUGCGGAUUCAUACUAAGAAGCUCGGAAUUGAUGGAAUUGGUCAAAAAUUGUAAAAAGUUAAAAUGUUGACUUUUGACUUUGAAAAGUCAAACUUUGACCGACCAUAUAUUCAAAUGUGAUUUGAAUUUUGGAAAAAUGAAUGCGGAUUCAUGCUCGGGAGGUUGGAAUUAGUCAAGACGGACAAAAUGGUAAAAAGUCAAAAUAUUGACUUUUGACUUAGAAAAGUCAAAGUUUGACUUUUGACUAGAAAUAUCUAAUGACCAUUUUACCCUUGGACUAAGUUAGUGGGAAAAUCCAACAUUUUGUUGGAUAAUCCCACUAACUCUUAGUGGGAUAUGUGGCUAUAUGAGAUAUAGACACCUAGCCCACUAAGUUCCACUAAUUGUUAGUGGAACAUUAGGUGUUGAGAUUUGACAAAUGAAUUACAUGCAUUUUUGCAUGUAAUUAGGUUAUAAAUAGAGGUGUUUUCAAAUGUUGAAGGACUUUUGCCUCUUUUAUCAUUUUCAUCAUCUCAACCAAAGAAAAAAAAGAAACCUUCUAACCCCCUUUUAUCUCCAUUACUUUCUACACCAAAAUUGGGUCCCACAACCCGGUUCUUUGUUUAGAGGAUAGCAGUUGAGUACUAGUGGUGGUCUCGGUUUGAAUUGGUAAGAAGAUAUCAAACUUUUUGAAAGCUUCAAAGGUAAUAUUUCCUAAAACCCUAAUUUGAUUAGUUUAUGGUUACAUGUUAAUUGUGGCAAUUAGAGUAGAAAUUCGAUUCUUUUUCCGCUGUGCAUGACUUAGUUCUAUCACUUGUUUGUUGAGAACUUCACGUCUUCAUUAGAUGGGAGGAUAGCCAUAUUAUAGUGGUUGUAUAUGUAAGAAAGAGAACCAAACCUAGUACUCGAGAUUUGUACAAUAACAGAGAACUUACAUUUCCACCGGCUGACUUGACU
This 3373-nucleotide long non-coding RNA is filed under the name Cucumis sativus (cucumber). RNAcentral's name for it is "long non-coding RNA (CSAT_LNC003136)". Lineage: Eukaryota; Viridiplantae; Streptophyta; Magnoliopsida; Cucurbitales; Cucurbitaceae. The record is from RNAcentral.